Molecule: ribosomal RNA, 405 nt
Filed under: Pseudoscourfieldia sp.
Lineage: Eukaryota; Viridiplantae; Chlorophyta; Pseudoscourfieldiophyceae; Pseudoscourfieldiales; Pseudoscourfieldiaceae
Description: partial large subunit ribosomal RNA
Rfam family: Bacterial large subunit ribosomal RNA
Source: RNAcentral
CAGAAAGACCCUAUGAAGCUUUACUGUAACUUGAAAUUGGAAUUGGACUUUAUUCGCGCAGUAUAGGUGGGAGGCUAUGAAAUUGAUCUUGCGGGAUCACUGGAGCCGUUAGUGAGAUACCACUCUUAUAAUGUUAGAUUUCUAACUUUGAACCAUUAUCUGGUCAUAGAACAGUUUCAGGCGGGCAGUUUGACUGGGGCGGUCGCCUCCCAAAUGGUAACGGAGGCGUGCAAAGGUUUCCUCUGAACGUGUAGAAAUCGUAUCUAGAGUGUAAAGGCAUAAGGGAGCUUGACUGUGAGACCUACAAGUCGAGCAGGGACGAAAGUCGGCCUUAGUGAUCUGACGGUACUGAGUGGAAAGGCCGUCACUCAACGGAUAAAAGUUACUCUAGGGAUAACAGGCUGA